Cucumis sativus (cucumber) is the source of this 624-nucleotide long non-coding RNA. RefSeq lists it as uncharacterized. Lineage: Eukaryota; Viridiplantae; Streptophyta; Magnoliopsida; Cucurbitales; Cucurbitaceae. The record is from RefSeq and is a predicted model, not a curated record. The transcript has 2 exons.
CAUAGAAUUUUAAAGCAUAAAAAUGAUUUGAAAUAAAAUAAUAAUGUGAAAAAUUAGUAAUAAGAGUUUUAAAUUUUGCUUUUUCUAUUGGUGUGGCUAUGCGUAUGGCCAUUGGUAUUUAAGGAGGAGUUGAGUGGCGGUCAGAUUGAAGUUUGGAGUCUUCCUAAAGGGAAAUUGAAAUCUUGGUGUUCGUGGGUGUUCAGCUCAAUCAUGACUCAAAAAUUCGGCGGUGGGUUGCGUCCUACGGGAACUCCCUCAGUUGGUUGGUCUUUUGUCGUCGUCAUCUCCUCGCUUCUCGCCGGCGCCUCCAUUGUCCACAACAUCUUCAAACCAAAUCUUACCUUGCCUCCGGCGGAUAGUGCCCAGACGACGACCAACAAGGAAAACCCUAUUUAAAAAUAAAUUACUUUAUAACCAUUACAGUACAGUUAGUUUAUUUCUUUCCAGAUUCAUGUUUUUCUUAUUAUUGGUUUUUGUUUCCAUGCUUUGAUGUCGAAGUUCUGUUUUGUUGGAAAAGGAACAAAAGAAUCUUUAAAGGUUCAUUUCGAGAGCUGCAAGUGUUGUAAAAUUCACCAGUUAUAAAUAACUAGUGCAUUCUCUCUUUGGGAAAUUGUUUUCUUUUUC